UACGGAGGAUGCGAGCGUUAUCCGGAUUUAUUGGGUUUAAAGGGUGCGCAGGCGGCACGGCAAGCCGGCGGUCAAAUCGCGGGGCUCAACCCCGCCCAGCCGUCGGAACUGCCGGGCUAGAGUGGGCGAGAAGUGCGCGGAAUGCGUGGUGUAGCGGUGAAAUGCAUAGAUAUCACGCAGAACUCCGAUUGCGAAGGCAGCGCACCGGCGCCCUACUGACGCUCAGGCACUAAAGCGUGGGUAUCGAACAGG
This 252-nucleotide ribosomal RNA is filed under the name uncultured bacterium. RNAcentral describes it as "partial 16S ribosomal RNA". It matches the Rfam family "Bacterial small subunit ribosomal RNA", at positions 524 to 776 of the family's 1533-position model. The record is from RNAcentral.